AAAAACUUAGUUAAAAUAUAAUAUUAACUUGUCAAGUUAAAGUUACUAAUAGUAGUUUUUA
RNAcentral lists this transfer RNA (61 nucleotides) under Grandidierella osakaensis. Its description in RNAcentral is "tRNA-Asp". The record is from RNAcentral. Lineage: Eukaryota; Metazoa; Arthropoda; Malacostraca; Amphipoda; Corophiidae.